UUGCUAAUUGUGGGAAAGUUUUAAUUUUAGUGUGUAAGCAAUUGUAAAAUACUGUAAUAACAGGGA
This is a long non-coding RNA of Etheostoma spectabile (orangethroat darter), 66 nucleotides long. RefSeq lists it as uncharacterized. The transcript is spliced from 3 exons. The record is from RefSeq and is a predicted model, not a curated record. NCBI's taxonomy places the organism in Eukaryota, Metazoa, Chordata, Actinopteri, Perciformes, Percidae.